ACGGCAUUUGGUGCUUGCACCGAAUGGACGUCGACCGGCGCACGGGUGAGUAACGCGUAUCCAACCUUCCCGUUACUGCGGGAUAACCUGCCGAAAGGCAGACUAAUACCGCAUGUUCUUCGAUGACGGCAUCAGAUUCGAAGCAAAGAUCCGUCGGUAACGGAGGGGGAUGCGUCUGAUUAGCUAGUUGGCGGGGCGACGGCCCACCAAGGCGACGAUCAGUAGGGGUUCUGAGAGGAAGGUCCCCCACAUUGGAACUGAGACACGGUCCAAACUCCUACGGGAGGCAGCAGUGAGGAAUAUUGGUCAAUGGGCGGAAGCCUGAACCAGCCAAGUAGCGUGCAGGAUGACGGCCCUACGGGUUGUAAACUGCUUUUAUGCGGGGAUAAAGUGAGGGACGCGUCCCUUUUUGCAGGUACCGCAUGAAUAAGGACCGGCUAAUUCCGUGCCAGCAGCCGCGGUAAUACGGAAGGUCCGGGCGUUAUCCGGAUUUAUUGGGUUUAAAGGGAGCGUAGGCCGGGGAUUAAGUGUGUUGUGAAAUGUAGGCGCCCAACGUCUGACUUGCAGCGCAUACUGGUUCCCUUGAGUACGCGCAACGCCGGCGGAAUUCGUCGUGUAGCGGUGACAUGCUUAGAUAUGACGAAGAAACCCGAUUGCGAA
Molecule: ribosomal RNA, 660 nt
Filed under: uncultured Bacteroidales bacterium
Lineage: Bacteria; Pseudomonadati; Bacteroidota; Bacteroidia; Bacteroidales
Description: bacterial SSU rRNA
Rfam family: Bacterial small subunit ribosomal RNA
Source: RNAcentral